AAAGUGAUGACUCCCUCCAGAUCGUGAAAAGUGAAAGACUCCCCUACCAGCUUGUGAUAAUAUUUUGACUUGGUUUUGGCUCGUUAAAGACUAGCGGCUGAUUAACAGGGAGAGUUGGGGGCAUUAAUAUUUAAUUGACACACGUGAACUUCUUGGAUUUGUGAGAGAUUAAGUUCUGCGAAAGCGUCUGCCCCCGGGGUUUUCAUUGGGCAAGAAGGGGGGGAGGGGAUCCAAGACUACCAGAAAUCCUCGUAUUCUUAACCAUAAACGAUUUCGACCCCCUAUUCAGAGACGUCCAAACCAAAAAAAUCCAUUUUUUGCGUUCAUCUUUUGGGAUUUUUUUCAAAGCCUGCGCGCGGAUGGCUUCGCCGGUGGCGACGCUGAAUGACUCCCCUACCACCUUGAAAAAAUUUAUACCGCAACAAACCGGGUGCAGACGGGGGCUAUAUUACUAUAACCCGUACUACACUGUGAUGAUCCUUCCGCGCGGUUCCCCUACGGACACCUGUGUCAACAUUUUCUUCCCCACAUUUGGCCCCAGAGA
This 544-nucleotide ribosomal RNA is filed under the name Acanthamoeba sp. Its description in RNAcentral is "partial 18S ribosomal RNA". Lineage: Eukaryota; Discosea; Longamoebia; Acanthamoebidae. The record is from RNAcentral.